This 1560-nucleotide ribosomal RNA is filed under the name Salmonella enterica subsp. enterica serovar Enteritidis. Its description in RNAcentral is "partial 23S ribosomal RNA". It matches the Rfam family "Bacterial large subunit ribosomal RNA", at positions 1260 to 2803 of the family's 2925-position model. Lineage: Bacteria; Pseudomonadati; Pseudomonadota; Gammaproteobacteria; Enterobacterales; Enterobacteriaceae. The record is from RNAcentral.
CCUGUGAGGGUUGCUGGAGGUAUCAGAAGUGCGAAUGCUGACAUAAGUAACGAUAAAGCGGGUGAAAAGCCCGCUCGCCGGAAGACCAAGGGUUCCUGUCCAACGUUAAUCGGGGCAGGGUGAGUCGACCCCUAAGGCGAGGCCGAAAGGCGUAGUCGAUGGGAAACGGGUUAAUAUUCCCGUACUUGGUGUUACUGCGAAGGGGGGACGGAGAAGGCUAUGUUGGCCGGGCGACGGUUGUCCCGGUUUAAGCGUGUAGGUGUGUGUUCCAGGUAAAUCCGGUUCACUUUAACACUGAGGCGUGACGACGAGGCACUACGGUGCUGAAGCAACAAAUGCCCUGCUUCCAGGAAAAGCCUCUAAGCAUCAGGUAACAUCAAAUCGUACCCCAAACCGACACAGGUGGUCAGGUAGAGAAUACCAAGGCGCUUGAGAGAACUCGGGUGAAGGAACUAGGCAAAAUGGUGCCGUAACUUCGGGAGAAGGCACGCUGACACGUAGGUGAAGUGAUUUACUCAUGGAGCUGAAGUCAGUCGAAGAUACCAGCUGGCUGCAACUGUUUAUUAAAAACACAGCACUGUGCAAACACGAAAGUGGACGUAUACGGUGUGACGCCUGCCCGGUGCCGGAAGGUUAAUUGAUGGGGUCAGCGCAAGCGAAGCUCCUGAUCGAAGCCCCGGUAAACGGCGGCCGUAACUAUAACGGUCCUAAGGUAGCGAAAUUCCUUGUCGGGUAAGUUCCGACCUGCACGAAUGGCGUAAUGAUGGCCAGGCUGUCUCCACCCGAGACUCAGUGAAAUUGAACUCGCUGUGAAGAUGCAGUGUACCCGCGGCAAGACGGAAAGACCCCGUGAACCUUUACUAUAGCUUGACACUGAACAUUGAGCCUUGAUGUGUAGGAUAGGUGGGAGGCUUUGAAGUGUGGACGCCAGUCUGCAUGGAGCCGACCUUGAAAUACCACCCUUUAAUGUUUGAUGUUCUAACGUGGACCCGUUACCCGGGUUGCGGACAGUGUCUGGUGGGUAGUUUGACUGGGGCGGUCUCCUCCUAAAGAGUAACGGAGGAGCACGAAGGUUGGCUAAUCCUGGUCGGACAUCAGGAGGUUAGUGCAAUGGCAUAAGCCAGCUUGACUGCGAGCGUGACGGCGCGAGCAGGUGCGAAAGCAGGUCAUAGUGAUCCGGUGGUUCUGAAUGGAAGGGCCAUCGCUCAACGGAUAAAAGGUACUCCGGGGAUAACAGGCUGAUACCGCCCAAGAGUUCAUAUCGACGGCGGUGUUUGGCACCUCGAUGUCGGCUCAUCACAUCCUGGGGCUGAAGUAGGUCCCAAGGGUAUGGCUGUUCGCCAUUUAAAGUGGUACGCGAGCUGGGUUUAGAACGUCGUGAGACAGUUCGGUCCCUAUCUGCCGUGGGCGCUGGAGAACUGAGGGGGGCUGCUCCUAGUACGAGAGGACCGGAGUGGACGCAUCACUGGUGUUCGGGUUGUCAUGCCAAUGGCACUGCCCGGUAGCUAAAUGCGGAAGAGAUAAGUGCUGAAAGCAUCUAAGCACGAAACUUGCCCCGAG